UCCCACUUGAUGAGAAUACAGCACGCAUGCAGAGCUCUAUCUACAGUGCUGACAGCGCUGCAUGUUUUACUAGAAGGACCUGGCAUCAGCUCUUCGAGCAGGGCCAGAGUCUUUCUGUGUCAUCCAGACUGAAGUGCAGCACUAUGAUCAUAACUCAUUGCAGCCUCCACCUCCUGGCACCUCCUGGCUCAAGCAAUCCUCCCACCCCAGCCUCCUGAGUAGCUGGGACUAUAGGAAUGCACCACCAUGCCCGGAUUUAUUAUUAUUAUUAAUUUUUGUAAAGAUGGGGGUC
RNAcentral lists this long non-coding RNA (292 nucleotides) under Homo sapiens (human). Its description in RNAcentral is "HSALNT0299822". The record is from RNAcentral. Lineage: Eukaryota; Metazoa; Chordata; Mammalia; Primates; Hominidae.